This 381-nucleotide RNase P RNA is filed under the name Syntrophus sp. (in: bacteria). RNAcentral describes it as "RNase P RNA component class A". It matches the Rfam family "Bacterial RNase P class A". Rfam says of the family: Ribonuclease P (RNase P) is a ubiquitous endoribonuclease, found in archaea, bacteria and eukarya as well as chloroplasts and mitochondria. Its best characterised activity is the generation of mature 5'-ends of tRNAs by cleaving the 5'-leader elements of precursor-tRNAs. Lineage: Bacteria; Pseudomonadati; Thermodesulfobacteriota; Syntrophia; Syntrophales; Syntrophaceae. The record is from RNAcentral.
UGAGCAGAUCAGAUGAUCGCUGGUCCGGACCACCGGACGGGAGGAAAGUCCGAGCUCCACAGGGCAGGAUGGUCGCUAACGGCGACUGGGGGAGACCCUAAGGAAAGUGCCACAGAAAAUAUACCGCCGGCCGGGGGCAACCAGGACGGUAAGGGUGAAAAGGCGAGGUAAGAGCUCACCGCUUUCCUGGCGACAGGGAAGGCAUGGUAAACCCCAUCCGGAGCAAGACCGAAUAGGAGAACGAUUGAGGGCUGCCCGCCCGAUGUUCUCGGGUAGGUUGCUUGAGGCAGCGGGCAACUGCUGUCCCAGAGGAAUGAUCAUCGCCGCCCUGCGGGGUAACCUGGGGGCGGAACAGAACUCGGCUUACGAUCUACUCAGGCA